Non-coding RNA from Sebastes umbrosus (honeycomb rockfish), 762 nucleotides. Lineage: Eukaryota; Metazoa; Chordata; Actinopteri; Perciformes; Sebastidae. The record is from the annotation of a RefSeq genome assembly.
AACUGCUCCACCACCAGUUAAAGAUCGUCAUUGUGUCAUUGUUAUUUCCCAUUAUUUUCCAUCAGUCCAUGAAUAUUAGUGUUUUUAAUAUUUUACAGCUGUUGUAGAGAUACUCUACUUAUGGAAAUGUAUCUGUGUCACAUGUUCCCUUUUUAAACCUGCAGAGGGAGGUCUAUGCAAACUCUUCCUCUCUUAUAAACACACCAUCAGCAACUGGUGGCAGAACUCUGGAACAGUUUUAUAUAUUUCUGAAACACUCAGAUCAGAAAGCUCUGAACUAGAGCGUUUAUCCCAGAAAUGGGAAAUACAAUUAUCUGGAGUUUAUUAUUUGUAGUUGCUAUUCAUGGAGUCUGGAGUGAGAUCAAACUGGACCAGUCUCCCUCUGAGGUGAAAAGACCUGGAGAGACAGUGAAGAUGUCCUGUAUCAUAUCUGGCUUUGACAUGACCAGCACCUAUAUUCACUGGAUACGACAGAGACCAGGAGAAGCUCUGGAGUGGAUCGGGAGGAUGAAUGCAGGUUCAAACUCUGCUAUCUAUGCCAGCUCCUUUCAAAGCCGUUUCAUCAUGACUGAAGAUGUGGCCAGCAGCACUCAGUACCUCGAGGUCAAGAGCCUGACAGCACAAGACUCUGCUGUUUACUUCUGUGCUCGACACACAGUGACUGAAGACAGUGGAGCAGCUGCACUAAAACCUCCACAGACAACAAACUGCAGUGAUCUUAAUAACAUCUGGGUUCUCUCACCACCUGCUAAAACACGCUGA